This 1436-nucleotide ribosomal RNA is filed under the name uncultured organism. Its description in RNAcentral is "16S ribosomal RNA". It matches the Rfam family "Bacterial small subunit ribosomal RNA". The record is from RNAcentral.
CUUAACACAUGCAAGUCGAGGGGCAGCAUGGUCUUAGCUUGCUAAGGCCGAUGGCGACCGGCGCACGGGUGAGUAACACGUAUCCAACCUGCCGUCUACUCUUGGACAGCCUUCUGAAAGGAAGAUUAAUACAAGAUGGCAUCAUGAGUCCACAUGUUCACAUGAUUAAAGGUAUUCCGGUAGACGAUGGGGAUGCGUUCCAUUAGAUAGUAGGCGGGGUAACGGCCCACCUAGUCUUCGAUGGAUAGGGGUUCUGAGAGGAAGGUCCCCCACAUUGGAACUGAGACACGGUCCAAACUCCUACGGGAGGCAGCAGUGAGGAAUAUUGGUCAAUGGGCGAGAGCCUGAACCAGCCAAGUAGCGUGAAGGAUGACUGCCCUAUGGGUUGUAAACUUCUUUUAUAAAGGAAUAAAGUCGGGUAUGCAUACCCGUUUGCAUGUACUUUAUGAAUAAGGAUCGGCUAACUCCGUGCCAGCAGCCGCGGUAAUACGGAGGAUCCGAGCGUUAUCCGGAUUUAUUGGGUUUAAAGGGAGCGUAGAUGGAUGUUUAAGUCAGUUGUGAAAGUUUGCGGCUCAACCGUAAAAUUGCAGUUGAUACUGGAUAUCUUGAGUGCAGUUGAGGCAGGCGGAAUUCGUGGUGUAGCGGUGAAAUGCUUAGAUAUCACGAAGAACUCCGAUUGCGAAGGCAGCCUGCUAAGCUGCAACUGACAUUGAGGCUCGAAAGUGUGGGUAUCAAACAGGAUUAGAUACCCUGGUAGUCCACACGGUAAACGAUGAAUACUCGCUGUUUGCGAUAUACAGCAAGCGGCCAAGCGAAAGCGUUAAGUAUUCCACCUGGGGAGUACGCCGGCAACGGUGAAACUCAAAGGAAUUGACGGGGGCCCGCACAAGCGGAGGAACAUGUGGUUUAAUUCGAUGAUACGCGAGGAACCUUACCCGGGCUUAAAUUGCAGAUGAAUUACGGUGAAAGCCGUAAGCCGCAAGGCAUCUGUGAAGGUGCUGCAUGGUUGUCGUCAGCUCGUGCCGUGAGGUGUCGGCUUAAGUGCCAUAACGAGCGCAACCCUUGUUGUCAGUUACUAACAGGUCAUGCUGAGGACUCUGACAAGACUGCCAUCGUAAGAUGUGAGGAAGGUGGGGAUGACGUCAAAUCAGCACGGCCCUUACGUCCGGGGCUACACACGUGUUACAAUGGGGGGUACAGAGGGCCGCUACCACGCGAGUGGAUGCCAAUCCCAAAAACCUCUCUCAGUUCGGACUGGAGUCUGCAACCCGACUCCACGAAGCUGGAUUCGCUAGUAAUCGCGCAUCAGCCACGGCGCGGUGAAUACGUUCCCGGGCCUUGUACACACCGCCCGUCAAGCCAUGGGAGCCGGGGGUACCUGAAGUGCGUAACCGCGAGGAGCGCCCUAGGGUAAAACUGGUGACUGGGGCUAAGUC